Molecule: ribosomal RNA, 486 nt
Filed under: uncultured bacterium
Lineage: Bacteria
Description: partial 16S ribosomal RNA
Rfam family: Bacterial small subunit ribosomal RNA
Source: RNAcentral
GACGAACGCUGGCGGCGUGCUUAACACAUGCAAGUCGAACGCUGAAGACCUGGCUUUGGUUGGGUUGGAUGAGUGGCGAACGGGUGCGUAACACGUGAGUAACCUGCCCUCUUCUUUGGGAUAACGCCCGGAAACGGGUGCUAAUACUGGAUAUUCACUUAUCUUCGCAUGGGGGUUGGUGGAAAGGGUUGUUCUGGUGGGGUAUGGGCUCGCGGCCUAUCAGCUUGUUGGUGGGGUGAUGGCCUACAUAGGCUGUGACGGGUAGCCGGCCGGGGUGGGUGACCCGUGACAUGGGGCCUGGGCCACGGCCCAGAGACAUGCGGGAGUCAGCAGUGGGGAAUAUUGGGCGAAGGGCGAAAGCAUGAUGCCGCGACGCGGCGUGAGGGAUGGCGGCUUUCGGGUCGUAAUCAUCUGUCGCGAAUGGUUAUGCCGCAAAUGUGGGUUGUGGUGAGGGUAGUGGGUAAAGAAGCGCCGGCUAACUACGUG